GACGGGGGCCCGCACAAGCGGUGGAGCAUGUGGUUUAAUUCGAUGAUACGCGAGGAACCUUACCUGGGCUCAAAUGUAUGUUGACGUAUUCUGAAAGGGAUACUUCUUCGGACAAUAUACAAGGUGCUGCAUGGUUGUCGUCAGCUCGUGCCGUGAGGUGUCGGGUUAAGUCCCAUAACGAGCGCAACCCCUAUCAUUAGUUGCCAUCAGGUCAAGCUGGGGACUCUAAUGAAACUGCCUACGCAAGUAGUGAGGAAGGUGGGGAUGACGUCAAAUCAGCACGGCCCUUACGUCCAGGGCUACACACGUGCUACAAUGGCCGGUACAGAGCGCAGCGAAGCCGCGAGGCAAAGCGAAUCGCAAAAAGCCGGUCUCAGUACGGAUUGGAGUCUGAAACCCGACUCCAUGAAGUUGGAAUCGCUAGUAAUCGCGCAUCCAGCAUGGCGCGGUGAAUACGUUCCCGGCCUU
RNAcentral lists this ribosomal RNA (468 nucleotides) under uncultured Sphingobacteriales bacterium. RNAcentral describes it as "bacterial SSU rRNA". It matches the Rfam family "Bacterial small subunit ribosomal RNA", at positions 912 to 1382 of the family's 1533-position model. The record is from RNAcentral. Lineage: Bacteria; Pseudomonadati; Bacteroidota; Sphingobacteriia; Sphingobacteriales.